RNAcentral lists this transfer RNA (71 nucleotides) under Blackfordia virginica. RNAcentral's name for it is "tRNA-Met". It matches the Rfam family "tRNA". From Rfam's summary of the family: Transfer RNA (tRNA) molecules are approximately 80 nucleotides in length. Their secondary structure includes four short double-helical elements and three loops (D, anti-codon, and T loops). The record is from RNAcentral. Lineage: Eukaryota; Metazoa; Cnidaria; Hydrozoa; Leptothecata; Blackfordiidae.
AGUAAAGUAAACUAAUGGUAAGUUAUUAGGCUCAUAACCUAAUUAUGAGGGUUCAAUUCCUUCCUUUACAA